Molecule: ribosomal RNA, 480 nt
Filed under: uncultured bacterium
Lineage: Bacteria
Description: partial 16S ribosomal RNA
Rfam family: Bacterial small subunit ribosomal RNA
Source: RNAcentral
GACGAACGCUGGCGGCGUGCUUAACACAUGCAAGUCGAGCGAUGAAGCUUUCUUCGGAAAGCGGAUUAGCGGCGGACGGGUGAGUAACACGUGGGUAACCUGCCUCAUAGAGGGGAAUAGCCUUUCGAAAGGAAGAUUGAUACCGCAUAAGAUUGUAGUAUCGCAUGGUACAGCAAUUAAAGGAGUAAUCCGCUAUGAGAUGGACCCGCGUCGCAUUAGCUAGUUGGUGAGGUAACGGCUCACCAAGGCGACGAUGCGUAGCCGACCUGAGAGGGUGAUCGGCCACAUUGGGACUGAGACACGGCCCAGACUCCUACGGGAGGCAGCAGUGGGGAAUAUUGCACAAUGGGGGAAACCCGGAUGCAGCAACGCCGCGUGAGUGAUGACGGUCUUCGGAUUGUAAAGCUCUGUCUUUAGGGACGAUAAUGACGGUACCUGAGGAGGAAGCCACGGCUAACUACGUGCCAGCAGCCGCCGUAA